This 2601-nucleotide ribosomal RNA is filed under the name Triticum aestivum (bread wheat). RNAcentral's name for it is "partial small subunit ribosomal RNA". Lineage: Eukaryota; Viridiplantae; Streptophyta; Magnoliopsida; Poales; Poaceae. The record is from RNAcentral.
AUGUCGCUUCAAAAAUUAUCACUAGGAAUGAACAACUUUGUCGGGUCCAUACCAGCUUUGUCGAACAUUGGCCCACCCUUGCAAUAUCUUAAAUUGCAAUCAAACAAUCUUUCUGGGACCAUACCUUCUUCUUUAGGGAAUUUUUCUUCGCUUCGCUACCUCUUGCUUGGAGAUAAUAAUUUCCAAGGUAGAAUACCAAUGAGUAUAGGCAAUAUUCUGUACCUGAGAGUACUAGAUCUCACUUAUAAUUCUUUGUCUGGGACAGUCCCUAACACUCUUUACAACAUAUCAUCACUUACAUACCUUGGCAUGGGUAUGAACAUACUUGUAGGGGAAAUUCCAUAUAACAUCGGAUAUACCCUUCCAAACAUCCAAACUUUGAUUAUGCAAGGAAACAACUUCACAGGACAAAUCCCCAUUUCAGUAGCCAACACAACCAAUCUUCAGGUGAUCAACCUCCGCGACAAUUCAUUCCAUGGUAUUGUUCCUUCUUUUGGGACUCUUCCUAGUCUAGUAGAUAUGAAUCUAGGCUGGAACCAACUUCAAGCAGGAGAUUGGUCUUUCUUAUCCUCAUUGACCAAUUGCACACAACUGGAGAAGUUGCGCUUGGAUGCAAACAACCUUGAGGGUGUCUUGCCCAAUUCCAUUGCAGGCCUUUCAAAGAGUUUAGAGUUAUUGUUAUUAAGAUCAAAUAGAAUAUCUGGCACUAUACCUUUGGAGAUACAGUACUUGACAAGCCUCAGACGUCUUUACAUGGAACGCAAUUUGCUUACUGGAAAUCUUCCUGAAUCAGUUGGAAAUCUUUCCAACUUGUUUGUCUUAAGCUUGUCUCAGAACAAACUUUCUGGAUCAAUUCCACUUUCUGUCGGUAAACUGAGUCAACUGAGUGAGCUCUAUUUACAGGAAAAUAAUUUUAGUGGCCCUAUCCCAGGAGCUUUAGCAGGCUGCAAGAAGUUAGAAAAACUAAACCUCUCUUGUAACAGCUUUGAUGGGAGAAUACCAAAGGAGUUGUUUUCUCUUCCCUCCCUUUCCCAGGGUUUGGACUUGUCCCACAACCAACUCUCUGGACAGAUACCUCCGGAGAUUGGCAGCCUGAAAAAUCUUGGGCCACUGAAUAUUUCCCAUAAUCAACUUUCUGGACAAAUACCCCCCACUCUAGGUCAGUGCGUCCAUCUGGAGUCCCUCCACAUGGAGGGUAACCUCUUUCAUGGGAAAAUCCCUCACUCCUCCAUAAGUUUGGGAGGCAUCAUUGAGAUGGAUCUAUCUCAAAACAACUUAUCAGGUGAAAUCCCUGACAUCUUUAAGUUCUUUAAGUCUAUGAAGCUUCUCAAUUUGUCCUUCAACAAUCUCGAGGGUUCUGUACCAGCAGAUGGAAUAUUUCAGAAUGGAAGAAAGGUUUUUAUUCAAGGGAACAUGAAGUUAUGUACCAGCACGCCAUUGCUACGGGUGCCAUUUUGCAAUGCAGAGGCAUCCAAACAAAGGAAUAGCUCCAGCAUUCUCAAGAUAGUAGGAUUUACAGUUCUUUCUUUGGUCCUGUUAUCAUGCUUUGCAACCAUUAUUUUGAAGAAGAAAAAGAACUUCAAACAAGCAGCUCAUCCAUCCUGCAAAGAGUUGAAGAAGUUCACAUAUGCUAAUUUAAUGAGGGCAACAAAUGGUUUCUCAUCAGAUAACUUGAUCGGUUCAGGAAAAUAUGGGUCUGUGUACAGAGGUAGAAUUGAAUCUGAAGAACAUGAAGUUGCCAUCAAAGUUUUCAAACUCAAUCAACUCGGAGCACCAAAAAGCUUCAUUGCUGAGUGUGAAGCAUUGAGAAAUACUCGUCACAGGAAUCUUAUAAGGGUGAUUACUGCAUGCUCAACCAUUGAUCCAACAGGACAUGAUUUCAAAGCUAUUGUUCUUGAAUAUAGUGUUAACGGCGACCUGGGAAGUUGGCUCCAUCCAACAGUCCAUGAGGAUGGUCAGAGAAGGCCAUUGAGUUUCGGUACAAGAAUAGUAAUAGCAGUGGACAUAGCUGCUGCUUUGGAUUACCUCCAUAACCAAUGUGUGCCUCCUAUUGCACACUGCGAUCUGAAGCCUAGCAAUGUCCUUUUGGAUGAUUUCAUGGGCGCACGUGUUGGAGAUUUUGGGUUGGCUAAGUUCCUGCAUAGUUACAAUUCUUCGGACAUUCAUACUUCUACAAGCUUAGUGGGGCCAAGAGGAUCAGUUGGAUACAUUGCCCCAGAAUAUGGAUUUGGGAGCAAAAUCUCCACUGAGGGCGACGUAUUUAGCUCUGGAGUCAUCAUCUUAGAAAUGCUUACAGGAAAGCGUCCAACCGAUGAGAUGUUUAAAGAUGGCCUGACCCUUUACAAAUUUGUUGAAAAAUCAUUUCCUCAAAAGAUUGAGGAGAUUCUAGACCCUAGAAUAGUUCCAGGUUAUCGAGGUGAAGGUGAAGAUGCAGGCAGUAAUUCAGACCGGGAACGAAUGGUUGCAAUGAGCUGCAUCAUAAAGCUCAUGGAGCUUGGGUUGCUGUGCUCUGCAGACACACCUAAAGAUCGGCCAACUAUGCAGGACAUAUACAAUGAAGUUAUCGCAAUCAAAGAAUCAUUUUCAGCAUUGGAGGGCUGA